Small nucleolar RNA from Rhineura floridana, 95 nucleotides. RefSeq annotates it as small nucleolar RNA SNORD125. The transcript has a single exon. The record is from RefSeq and is a predicted model, not a curated record. Lineage: Eukaryota; Metazoa; Chordata; Lepidosauria; Squamata; Rhineuridae.
UAGCCAGCUAGCCUCUCAUGAUGAAUUUUGUCUCACUGAGUGCCUGAUGAACUCAACUGACCCUCUAAGAAGUUGACUGAAGAGGCUUAUCGAGC